CACGUAGGGGGGCAAGCGUUGUCCGGAUUUAUUGGGCGUAAAGAGCUCGUAGGUGGUUCGGUAAGUCGGGUGUUAAACCCCCAGGCUCAACCUGGGGACGCCACUCGAUACUGCUGUGACUUGAGUCCGGUAGGGGAGCGUGGAAUUCCUGGUGUAGGCGGUGAAAUGCGCAGAUAUCAGGAGGAACACCGGUGGCGAAGGCGGUUCUCUGGGCCUUACCUGACGCUGUGGAGCGAAAGCGUGGGGAGCAAACAGG
This 256-nucleotide ribosomal RNA is filed under the name uncultured bacterium. RNAcentral's name for it is "partial 16S ribosomal RNA". It matches the Rfam family "Bacterial small subunit ribosomal RNA", at positions 524 to 776 of the family's 1533-position model. The record is from RNAcentral.